UGUGCCAGCAGCCGCGGUAAUACGUAGGGUCCAAGCGUUAAUCGGAAUUACUGGGCGUAAAGCGUGCGCAGGCGGUUGUGCAAGACCGAUGUGAAAUCCCCGAGCUUAACUUGGGAAUUGCAUUGGUGACUGCACGGCUAGAGUGUGUCAGAGGGGGGUAGAAUUCCACGUGUAGCAGUGAAAUGCGUAGAGAUGUGGAGGAAUACCGAUGGCGAAGGCAGCCCCCUGGGAUAACACUGACGCUCAUGCACGAAGCGUGGGGAGCAACAGGAUUAGAUAC
RNAcentral lists this ribosomal RNA (280 nucleotides) under uncultured Burkholderiales bacterium. Its description in RNAcentral is "partial 16S ribosomal RNA". It matches the Rfam family "Bacterial small subunit ribosomal RNA", at positions 504 to 785 of the family's 1533-position model. The record is from RNAcentral. Lineage: Bacteria; Pseudomonadati; Pseudomonadota; Betaproteobacteria; Burkholderiales.